CGGCGGGUCCCGCGCGGCGCCCAUCCUGUGAACUCCCCCAGGGCCGGAAGGCAGCAAGGGUCAACAGGCUCUGGCGGGUGCGCGGGGCCCGCUCUCG
RNAcentral lists this signal recognition particle RNA (97 nucleotides) under Pseudonocardia petroleophila. RNAcentral's name for it is "signal recognition particle sRNA small type". It matches the Rfam family "Bacterial small signal recognition particle RNA". Rfam says of the family: The signal recognition particle (SRP) is a universally conserved ribonucleoprotein involved in the co-translational targeting of proteins to membranes. Archaeal SRP consists of a 7S RNA and homologues of the eukaryotic SRP19 and SRP54 proteins. Lineage: Bacteria; Bacillati; Actinomycetota; Actinomycetes; Pseudonocardiales; Pseudonocardiaceae. The record is from RNAcentral.